UCUAAUAGAAUUCUUAUUAGUAUUGCCUGCUCUAUGUAAAAUAAAUGGCCGCAGAACCCACUGUGCUAAGGUAGCAUAAUAACUUGCCUUUUAAUUAAAGGCUAGCAUGAAAGGUACCACAUAUUGAUUUCUUUAUUAAAUAAACCAAUUUAACUUAACCUUUUAGUAAAAAGGCUAAAAUUUAUCAAAAGGACGACAAGACCCUGACAAACUUUACUUUCUUGUUUUGCUGGGGGGGCAAAAAAAAUUUACCUUUUUUCAUACAAAAUAACAAAAAAAUUCUAUUCUUUUACAAGUUACUGCAGGGAUAACAGCAUAAUUUUUUCCUAAAGCCCUUAUUAAAGAAAAAGUUUAUGACCUCGAUGUUGAAUUAGAUCACUUUUAGGAGCAAAAUCUUUUUAAGCAAGUCUGUUCGACUUUUAAUUUUCUACAUGAUUUGAGUUCAGACCGGUGCGAGCCAGGUCGGUUUCUAUCCUUUUUUCCAUAAUCUUUAGUACGAAAGGACCAAGAUUAAUUUAUUUUUUUUC
Molecule: ribosomal RNA, 527 nt
Filed under: Nemesia ibiza
Lineage: Eukaryota; Metazoa; Arthropoda; Arachnida; Araneae; Nemesiidae
Description: partial 16S ribosomal RNA
Rfam family: Bacterial large subunit ribosomal RNA
Source: RNAcentral